AUGGCUCCCGAAGUGUUGCCAAAACCUCAGAUGUGUGGCCUUCUGGCCAAGCGUCUGCGAUUUCAAUGUUUGGAGCAUUCAUGGUGUCCCUGGGGGUUGCAGCUUUGUAUGAGUUUGGUGUGGGUGAACCAAGAAAGAAGGCAUAUGCAGAUUUCUGCAGAAAUUAUGAGAUUUUGAGCAGAUGAGGAAGGCUGGUAUCUUUCAGUUUAAAGUAA
RNAcentral lists this long non-coding RNA (215 nucleotides) under Homo sapiens (human). RNAcentral's name for it is "non-protein coding lnc-NPIPB2-3:1". The record is from RNAcentral. Lineage: Eukaryota; Metazoa; Chordata; Mammalia; Primates; Hominidae.